Molecule: long non-coding RNA, 764 nt
Organism: Carassius gibelio (silver crucian carp)
Lineage: Eukaryota; Metazoa; Chordata; Actinopteri; Cypriniformes; Cyprinidae
Exons: 3
Source: RefSeq, a predicted model, not a curated record
AGAUGUUAAAAGCAAGAGACAUGGGAGAUCAUCAUUCCCUUGAGAUUUUAUAACUCAAACCAACUUUGGAGUUGUCUGAUUUGGAGAGUCAUUAUUCUUGGUCUUCGCUCUUAGAGGCCACUGAUGAAGAGCAGGCGGUGACUGGGAUGAAUGCUGGUCAGAGAGGAGAAUCUUCUUUCCCCUAAACAGCGGUGGUUUUAAAGGAGGACGCUGCCCUGGAUGAUGUAGAAGAUGUCACAUGCUGUGCUGAUGGGGCUUCUUCAUGAUUACAUCAGUUAUGCUAAAGAGAUCAUGAAAAUUGACCGUGAUGCAUGAUCUGUAUUCAUGGACAAUGAAACAAACUGUAAGUGUAUAAUUUGUAAAAAAAAAAAAGUUAAAUGCUUUUUCUGUGUUGUUUAGUAGAAAAGUUUACACUCUGUCAUUCAUACACCUGCUAACAUUCUUUCACACACACACACACACACACACACGCGUCUGCUAAAGGUUAUAAUAUCAAAGUUAAUGUUGUGAUUUAUUUGUGUACUGUCAUGCCAGAAUAGUUGGAAAAAAAACUAAUUGUAAAUUUAUUGUAUGUGUUUUCGUAUAUUUUUAUACAAUAUAUACAAUUGAACAAAGUCCAAUUUGAUCUUAAGUUAUAUUCAUCAAAUGUUCAAUGCUUUGUUUAUGAACUCUGUAGCUGUUAAUGCCAUCCUUUUCUGCAUUUCUUCUAACAUGUUACUUUUUGACUUUUCUCUUGUUUUUAAUAAAUAUUUUCCUUUUGGUAA